Molecule: long non-coding RNA, 973 nt
Organism: Bos taurus (domestic cattle)
Lineage: Eukaryota; Metazoa; Chordata; Mammalia; Artiodactyla; Bovidae
Source: Ensembl
GGGUUACUCAGACAGGACCCAGGGAAGCGGAGUCAGACAGGAGCCUUACCCAGGCUCCAGGCCAGCAGCCAUUCAUUCUCUCAGCCAAGCCCUUGACUACACGUGGGCCUCAGAGACAUGCUGUCUCACACUGGCACGUGACAUACACACGGUCACGUUCCCAUAUGCAGGGAGUUCCUUUCCUCUCAGGGCUGAGUUCCUAGAAAUCAGCACAGUUCCCAGCACAGAGGAGAUGUACAUUCAUACGUGGGUAUCCCGGCACCCUUCCACCAAAUACCCAGUGCCACCAGCUCCUACAGUUCCUUCCAGAAGUGGCCCACGUCUGGCCUGAUCCCUCAUCCCACCAGACACACACCUAAGCACACUCUGUGCCACCCGACAGAGACCUUGCUUCUUCGGGCUGAUGAUGACAAGUGAAACCAGUCAGCACCAGGGGGAUCUGACGUGGACCCAGCCCUCCAGGAAAUAGCACUGCAGCGGGAGGCUCCUGAGACACGCCUUAGACCACAGUGGGUGGGGCCCAGCCGCUGCCUGUCCUCUUGCUGCCCUGCCCAGGAAGAAGCCAGCCAGAGAGAUGUCUGACCCAUCGGUCCUCCCCUCUGUCCUCUGGCCUGAUCCCCCUCCUCUCCCCAUGGUGGCUCAGGCUGGCCGUGCCCUUCCCAUCCUGUGGGCCAGCGGUCUAGGGUGGGGAGCUCAUGGUGGGAGUGAAGCCAUCUCGGCUCUGACCUGGGCUAGGCCCAAACCUGCCUCCCUUGGGGCCUUAUUCUGGUUGGAAGAAAAGAGCCGCUUUAGUCUCUGACUCGUGGAGACAGACAACCAGAAUCUUUCUCCUAAGCUUUUCCUCAGGACUCACCUCAUUGUGCAUCUGCUUGAAGCCCUUUCUAGAUAAAAAUGAGUAAAAUGCACAGAUCUAUAAGUCUCUGUAUGUAUGCAAAUGUACUUUGUGUGGUGUCAUCGGUCUAGCAAAACCCAU